GGAGAGGUGUCUGAGCGGUCUAAGGAGCUUGCUUGGAAAGCAAGUAAGGUUAAUUCCUUCCAGGGUUCGAAUCCCUGUCUCUCCG
This 85-nucleotide transfer RNA is filed under the name Methanosarcinales archaeon. RNAcentral describes it as "tRNA-Ser". It matches the Rfam family "tRNA". From Rfam's summary of the family: Transfer RNA (tRNA) molecules are approximately 80 nucleotides in length. Their secondary structure includes four short double-helical elements and three loops (D, anti-codon, and T loops). Lineage: Archaea; Methanobacteriati; Methanobacteriota; Methanomicrobia; Methanosarcinales. The record is from RNAcentral.